GGAGCUCGAAAGACAAUCGCUUCUUUUGAAGAGGAAAGUCCGGGCAACAAAGAGUACGGUAGUCGCUAACGGCGACCGUUCGUAAGAAUAGGGAAAGUACCACAGAAACAAAACUGCCCUUUUGGGCGAUGGUGAAAAGAGUGGGGUAAGAGCCCACAGCAGGGUGUAGCGAUACGCUCUGGCGGCAAACCCUACCGGUUGCAAGGAGUGCUAUUAGCCUUUACUCGAGGACGCACGCUUACCGCUCGAGCCAUGAAGCAAUUUAUGGCCUAGAUAGAUGAUUGUCGGCCUUUUUAGGUUACAGAACCCGGCUUACUGAGAGCUCAUUAC
RNAcentral lists this RNase P RNA (330 nucleotides) under Candidatus Saccharimonadota bacterium. RNAcentral describes it as "RNase P RNA component class A". It matches the Rfam family "Bacterial RNase P class A". From Rfam's summary of the family: Ribonuclease P (RNase P) is a ubiquitous endoribonuclease, found in archaea, bacteria and eukarya as well as chloroplasts and mitochondria. Its best characterised activity is the generation of mature 5'-ends of tRNAs by cleaving the 5'-leader elements of precursor-tRNAs. Lineage: Bacteria; Candidatus Saccharimonadota. The record is from RNAcentral.